Non-coding RNA from Equus caballus (horse), 800 nucleotides. NCBI's taxonomy places the organism in Eukaryota, Metazoa, Chordata, Mammalia, Perissodactyla, Equidae. The record is from RefSeq and is a predicted model, not a curated record.
GUUUGGGGGGCCUCACUUGGCCCUUGCAUAUAUUUCUUUGUUCCUUUAGUUAUCUUUCUUUGGAUAAGCUUCCCAUUUCCUCAGACAAGCCUAUGAAUAAGGUUCCCUGUAAGUUGUACACAGGAAAUAUAAAUAUAAGCUGCACAGAGCACAUCUGCCUCUGUGUCAUCCAUCAUGCCCAUGACCCAACUGUUGACUCAUAAGCCUUGGUCAUCUUCCGACAACCAUAAAACAUCAGAGCACUCAAAGAUUCAUAGUGCCUUCAGGGGAGAGGUCAUGUCUAAUAGGAUACUGCUUAAAACCUAGUAGGUACUCAAUAAAUGUUUAUGAUGAGAAAGUUUAAAAAGCAGAAAUCUCUUCUUGUUCAGAAAACAUAAAGGACAAAACAGGCCCACUGCUGGGUGGUGAACUGUCUGGCUUGAUAAAAGCAAACAAGCCUUCUUGUGUAUCAUUGUUGCUUAGGCAUCCAGGGCCGGGUAUAUUUCACCAAGGCAAGAAGAGACCCACUGGAAGCAGCAGGAACUAGGAAGUCCCGAGCUCUGGCUGUACACUAGCCAUGAUUUACAAGGUGAACUUGGACAAAUCUCUCAACAGAUAUUGAUUCUUCAAGGACUUCCAUGAGACCAAAUGAGAACUAUGUCUUAAAACACUGAAAAAAAAGCACCCCCCAGCCCCGCCGCCGUACAUAGCUGUGCACCUUUAGCUGUGGGUCCCUCCAGCUGCGGCACAAGGGACGCCGCCUCAGCAUGGCUCGACAAGCGGCGCCACAUCCGCACCCAGGACUCCAACCGGCAAAACCC